Molecule: ribosomal RNA, 429 nt
Filed under: Pseudomonadota bacterium
Lineage: Bacteria; Pseudomonadati; Pseudomonadota
Description: Proteobacteria bacterium partial 16S ribosomal RNA
Rfam family: Bacterial small subunit ribosomal RNA
Source: RNAcentral
UGGGGAAUAUUGGACAAUGGGCGAAAGCCUGAUCCAGCCAUGCCGCGUGUGUGAAGCAGGUCUUCGGAUUGUAAAGCACUUUAAGUUGGGAGGAAGGGCAGUAAGCGAAUACCUUGCUGUUUUGACGUUACCGACAGAAUAAGCACCGGCUAACUCUGUGCCAGCAGCCGCGGUAAUACAGAGGGUGCAAGCGUUAAUCGGAAUUACUGGGCGUAAAGCGCGCGUAGGUGGUUCGUUAAGUUGAAUGUGAAAGCCCCGGGCUCAACCUGGGAACUGCAUCCAAAACUGGCGAGCUAGGGUAGGGCAGAGGGUGGUGGAAUUUCCUGUGUAGCGGUGAAAUGCGUAGAUAUAGGAAGGAACGCCAGUGGCGAAGGCGACCACCUGGGCUCAUACUGACACUGAGGUGCGAAAGCGUGGGGAGCAAACAGG